AUGAAGUUGCAUUAUCAUCCCGGAAAGGCUAACAUAGUAGCCGAUGCGUUGAGCCGCAAGAGCCAUGUCAAUACACUCAUGACUGGAGAGUUACCCAAGGAGUUAGCAGAGGAUCUUCGUGAGCUAUGUUUGAAAAUAGUUCCGAGAGGUUAUGUAACAACAUUGGAGAUUCAGACUACUUUGAUGGAUAAGAUCAAAGAAGCUCAGAAGACGGACAAGGAGAUUGCUAAGAUAAAAGAGAGGAUGAGCAAAGGAAAAGCUAAGGGAUUUCGUGAGGAUGAGCACGAUACCUUAUGGUUUGAGGAUCGUGUUUAUGUGCCUAAUGAUUCGGAGAUCAGGAAGUUGAUUCUGCAAGAGGCCCAUGAUUCGCCGUAUUCGAUUCACCCAGGAAAUACCAAGAUGUAUCUGGAUUUGAAGAAUAGUUUCUGGUGGACCAGAAUGAAGAAGGAUAUUGUGGAGUAUGUAGCAGUUUGUGAUGUAUGUCAGAGAGUGAAGGCAGAACAUCAGAAGUCAGCUGGAUUGAUACAUCCAUUGCCGAUACCCGAAUGGAAGUGGGAUAAACUAGGCAUGGACUUUAUCAUGGGAUUGCCCAGGACCCGUUCAGGCUAUGACUCGAUAUGGGUUGUAGUCGAUCGUUUGACGAAGGUAGCUCAUUUCAUUCCAGUCAAGACCACGUACACCAAUUCUAAGUUGGCAAAGAUAUACAUGACUAGGAUCGUAUGUCUGCAUGGAGUUCCGAGGACCAUCGUAUCAGAUAGAGGAACCCAGUUUACCUCAAAGUUUUGGAAUCAGUUGCAUGAGACUCUGGGAAUCAGGCUAGAGUUCAGUACAACCUUUCACCCGCAGACAGACGGACAAACUGAGAGAGUCAAUCAAAUUUUGGAAGACAUGUUGAGAGCUUGUGCGCUAGACUAUGGAUCUAGUUGGGACGACAAUUUGCCUUAUAUAGAGUUCUCUUACAACAACAACUAUCAAGCCAAUAUGAAGAUGGCCCCUUUCGAAGCAUUGUACGGAAGGAGGUGCAGGACACCAUUGUUGUGGGAUGAAGUUGGAGACCGUCAGUUAUUUGGACCAGAUUUGAUUAAAGAGUCUGAAGAGAAGGUUAAGCUGAUUCGUGAUAGACUCAAGGUAGCCCAGUCCAGGCAGAAGAGUUAUGCGGAUUCUAAACGCAAGGAGAUAGUUCACGAAGUUGGAGACAGAGUGUAUCUUCGUGUAUCACCACUCCGAGGAGUGAAGCGCUUUGGAGUUAAGGAAAAGUUAGCACCACAUUUUAGGGGACCAUACCGUGUUUUGGAACGUAUGGGAGAAGUUGCUUACAAGUUGGAAUUGCCCGAAUGA
RNAcentral lists this ribosomal RNA (1338 nucleotides) under Triticum aestivum (bread wheat). Its description in RNAcentral is "partial small subunit ribosomal RNA". The record is from RNAcentral. Lineage: Eukaryota; Viridiplantae; Streptophyta; Magnoliopsida; Poales; Poaceae.